Acanthochromis polyacanthus (spiny chromis) is the source of this 3872-nucleotide long non-coding RNA. RefSeq lists it as uncharacterized. The record is from RefSeq and is a predicted model, not a curated record. Lineage: Eukaryota; Metazoa; Chordata; Actinopteri; Pomacentridae. The transcript is spliced from 3 exons.
CGCACUCCGUGCAACAUCGUUCUGGAGCACCGAAGAAAAUCAACGGUGUUGCAGCACUUCUCCACGACGAAGCACAGCAAAAGGUUUGCUGAACACAAAGGAGUCAAACAACUUACAGUAAUGGACGCAGCUUCCAAGACAGUUGCGAGGCAAACGAGAAACGAGAUUUGUGAGUCCUGGGUUGCCACAUGCACUGCGGUAAACAUUCCACUCUCUAAGAGCGACCAUCCAGUGAUGAGAAAAUUCCAGAAUGAAAGCGUAAUCAAUGGCGGAGCCAUUCCAGGAUUUCACCAGCUGCAAGAUCAUUACUUAGGAGCAGUAUACGAGAAGCAAAAAGAAGAGUUGGCUGGAAAACCUGUUGCUGUUGUAUUUGAUGAGACUCCAGAUGUAGAGGGGCGAUGUGUGCUGAACAUCCUGCUUGCACCACUUGUAAAGGAUAAUUCUGGUCGCAUUUUGGCCUACCUUGCAGACACUGUGUUUCUCGAAGAGUGCAAUCAUUCACUGUAUCUAUGGCUGUUGUGAAAUGCCUACAAGAUUACGGCAUUCCAAAUGAAGAUGUUAUUGUGUUUGACACAGAUAAUGCAGCCUAUAUGAAGAAGGCAUUCAAAUCUGCUCUGCAGGCACUGUACCCCAACUCACUGCACAUCACAUGCCUGGCACACAUAAUGAGCUUCAUUGGAAAUGCCUUCCGCAAACCUUUUGAUCAGUUGAACCGCUUCAUGGUGAGCUUCUCCCAGAUGUUCUUCAAUGCUGGAUCACGCAAGAGACGAUACCUCUCCUUCAUGGCAAACAAGCUGCCAAGAAAAAAGGUGACCAUGCCUCCAAACCCCUGUGCAACACGAUGGAACGCCUGGUUCUUUGCUGUACAAUACCACAGGGAGUACUUUGGACUCUACAAGGAGUUCAUCGAGAUGGAAACACAGGUGUGUGGCAGAAGUGUACCACAGUCUAUGGAGAAACUCCACGAGAUGCUUCAGAACCCUAACCUGGCUCAAUCCCUGAAUGUGCAGAUCAAUGUCAUGGCUGACAAGUGUAGGAACAUCAUCAAUCUACUCGACAUCUUCGAGAGUAGACGUCCAGUGACUACAAAGAUCUUCAAUUAUCUGGAGGACAUGCAGGUGGUCAUUGCAGCCAACAAAGAGCUGCAGUUAGAGGUAUGCGACGAAUACUUCUGUGGGUUUGACCUAUCACACCCAAUGAAGACCGCCAUCCUCCAAACAGUUGGCAAUGUUUGAUGUCUUCAAUGCUGAAGAAAAGCUCAGCAAGUAUAUGUCAGAUGGGCAGCCAGCCAUAGGGUUUCUCCAGGAGGUCAGGGUGUUUGAUCCCUGUAACAUUGUAUUCCUAGACAAUUCUGUAGAAAGCUACAAGGCCAUUCCAGGUUUCUCGCAUGUGCCAAAUGAUGAGUUUACCUUGUACAUCACAGCCCUGGGUCCAGCAGCACUCAGAGCUGCACAAUCUGGCGUGGUAGAUCUGGAUCUUUUCUGGGAUGGCCCUCAGGAUAGACUUCCUGCUCUUUCUGUCUUGGCACGAAGAUACAAAGAUGCUGUCUCUAACUCAGCAGAUGCUGAAAGGAGCAACAGUAUCUACAAGUUGGUGUUGAGCAACAGAAGGAGGUCAACAACCAAUGAAAACUUGAAGGCAUUGGUCUUCUUGUGCCACAACCAUCACAUCUGGAGUGGCGCGUUUGAGAGGGACGAAAGAGAGAGGGAGAUAGAGGAGGAGGACGAGGAGUGAGAGGGCAUGGACGUUGAGGAAGAGGGGAUCGAGGAUAAUUAAUAAUUUCGAUUUGAUUGUACUCUGAUUGUUGUUUAUUUUUUGUUUCCUCUAUUUUUGUCAUUUAAUUUUUCAGAAACUGAUGCAUUAUUUUGAGAGAGAGGGAGAAGGGACAGGAGAUAGGAUUGGAUCAUUAUUUUUUGUGACCUAAUUUUUUCAUGCACCAGAGAUUGCACUUUGUUUUAUUUUGUUAUUGCAUAUAUGCACUUGUUUUGUACAUUAUUGCAUAUCAAUAUGGUAUUGUUCAAUGAUUGCACUGAGCAGGGUUCCCCAAAGUGCAAUAAGGCUCUUAUAUUUAGACCAGGGGCCUGUUUCAUGAAGCAGGUUCACUGAAAACUCUGACUUUCUUAACCCUGAAAUGAGGGAAACUCAGAGUUUUCCGUUUCACGAAGCAAGGUAACUCUAACCAGGGAAUGCAGGGUAACUCUAGCCUGUUUCACAAAGAGGGGUAACUUAAACUCUCGGCCAGUUACUGCAGUAACAGACUCUAUGACUCUAAUCUGGUCGCCAGCAGGUUUAUCUGAGAAAACCUCGAGUUUCUCUCCGUCUCCGCCCUCUUUCAGCCACACACGCUGUUUCAUUUCCUCAUUUAUUCAGUCAGUAAGCGGGCGAGUUUUGGCGUAGAACAGCAUUUAUUAACGAUCCAGUGGAUAAAGGAGCAGCAUUACUGCACAGAUAAUUAAAUAUUCAUCGGUAGAUUAUCAGACCGCGCAUAAAUGUUCUCGCAUUUCUGGACAAUUAUCUUUUUGAGCAGUACCGUUUCGUAAUCGUUUCAAGUCCAUAAUCUACAUAAACAACCUAAUCCGUCCUUACAUUUACAUUACCAGCCACAGUCAUGCUCUCACAUCCAGCAGAUAUUGUGUGUUGCGCUGCGGUUCUUUGCAAAUGGAAGUUUUUAUAUGAUGUCGGAGAUGCAGAGCACUUAAGUAAGACAACUGUAUGCAGGACAGUCAGAAAAGUUUUCCUGGUCCUGAAACGACUUUUACUCAUCAUUGUGGUUUUCCUGGACACAAACCUGUCAGAGCAUCAAGGAGGAGUUCCACAGGAUUGCAAUUGCAUGAUGUAGAGAUCUGUUAAAUUCAUUUUAAAUCAUAUUCUGUUAAUGACAUUGUGCUGCAACCUGAGACUGGGAUUAGUCAUUUUAAUUUCUUUUAGGAUUUCCCAGUGUGAUUGGCUGCAUAGAUGCACACACAUCCCCAUCACAGCUCCCUCACAUCAUGAAUAGGAAGUCCAUUCACAGCAUAAAUGUGCAGGUAGGCUACAGGUAGACUGACUACUGUUUCUAAAUGUUAAAGACUGCAUCAUAGUUCAACAUCUGUCAUUCUCUGCACUGCCCAGAUCAUAUGUGAUGCUGCAUACAUCAUUUCUAAUGUAGAGGCCACGUGGUCUAGAUCUGUUCAUGACUCCAGGAUUUAUGGAGAGUCUAACCUGAGCAACAGACUGCAGCAUGGUCAGCAGCCUAAAGAUUUUCACAAUAGAAUUCUCUUGUCUCCCUCCUUUAAUAUGCUCUGAUGUAUCCACUAUACGUUACAGGAGAGUUUGAUGGCCUUCUGCUGGGUGACAGGGGUUACCAUGCCAACCCAGGCUGAUGACCUCAUACCCUGAGGAGAGGAACACACUGACCUACAAACUGAAGACCCAGAUGAUGACCCCAUCCACCUGCAGCUAUCCAGGACAGCAGAGCAGUCAGAGACACCGUAUGCAAUAAUCACUUUAGAGUUUAAGUCACCAUCAUCAGCAAAUAAAGACAUGAUACACAUUUCAUUUGGUCUUCUUUAUCUCCUACAAAUAAAAGAGACAGUUCAGUUAAUGUUCCAGUAGUUAACAUAAUUCACCUGUGACCAUCACCCACCUCUAACUUGUGCUCCAGUAUUUCAAUUUCCAGAUCUGCCCUCCUAAUCUGUUUUUUUUUUUUUUUUUUUCUCAGCAAAUGCAGUUUGUAAAUUCGUUUUACUGAUAACUGGGAAUACAUAGAGGAUAUUAAAUUAUGCAGUUGCACAUGAAUUCCACAGAAUGAACCUCUGGUGUUUCCUGAACGUCCAUCUCACUGUGUCAGUCUGUGCAGUGGAAGUUGAGGGACCAUCCUGCUGCUGUCCAGC